This 113-nucleotide ribosomal RNA is filed under the name uncultured eukaryote. RNAcentral describes it as "partial small subunit ribosomal RNA". It matches the Rfam family "Eukaryotic small subunit ribosomal RNA", at positions 1676 to 1785 of the family's 1831-position model. The record is from RNAcentral.
UCGCACCUACCGAUUGAAUGGUCCGGUGAAAUCCUCGGACUGUGACAUUGCUUUGAUUUCGGUCAAACGUUGUUGUGGGAAGUUGAUUAAAUCUUACCAUUUAGAGGAAGGUG